AAGAUUUUAAGUUAAAACUAAACUAAUAACCUUCAAAGUUAUAAUUACUUAAUAAGUAAAUCUUA
This 65-nucleotide transfer RNA is filed under the name Dryodurgades formosana. RNAcentral describes it as "tRNA-Trp". Lineage: Eukaryota; Metazoa; Arthropoda; Insecta; Hemiptera; Cicadellidae. The record is from RNAcentral.